UUGUGAAAGGGGCCGACCUUAUUGGCGCAGAGGGGAACAGAAUCGCCGUCCUUGUAGCGGUGAUUGGAGGCGUCCGAUCUCACGUGAGUUACAGAACAAGCGAUUAGAAGCGCGACAGGGAGAAUUGUUGAAAGAAUUCCCAUGCUUGUUUGUUUGAUUUCUCCCAUUUUCCCAUCUCUUGAAGUGAGGAUCAACAGACUCCAGGC
Molecule: unclassified non-coding RNA, 206 nt
Filed under: Hevea brasiliensis (rubber tree)
Lineage: Eukaryota; Viridiplantae; Streptophyta; Magnoliopsida; Malpighiales; Euphorbiaceae
Source: RNAcentral